GAUCGCGCCUCUUCCCUCCCUCUCCCCCUUCUACUGUGUCCUCUCCUGAUUUUCCUCCCCGAGGAAGUCGGCCAGUGGAAUCUCGGCCGAUACAAACGCGUGGAACGGCAUCUAGUUGGCAGGGAAGCGCGUCGAGUGGACAGUUGGGAGUCGGAAGAGAGCGUAUGCGCCAUAUGUACAUAAUUACCACGGGCCAAUCGGGGAUUGAAAGCGGUGCACAAGUUUGUCGUAGCGUCGAAGCUCCAGGGUCUGGCUCGUCCCGUUGGUUCCCUCGCGUGCGUGCAUAAGCGCGCGCGCACACACAGCCGCGCAACGGUGGUUCAGUUGGUUAUUGACGUUCGUGUGCACGGGGCGCGUUGCUAGACUCUGUUCAACCACACUCUGUUCGAAAGUCGGGAACAGUAGCGAAAGGGAAAGAGGGAAUUGGCGCGUGGGUAUCUUUCGCUCGCUCCUUCCAAGAUCCCAAGAGAGGAAAUCGGAUACCGAAGAGAAGAGAGAAGAAGGAGUCGAAGGAGAAAAUAACCACUUCGGGACCGGAAAAAAAAGGAAAGACGAGUGACUGUGAUCGCCGCCCGGAAAAAAAUAUCCGAGCGAGGAGAGAGAGGCUGGUGCGGAACCGAGCUACAUGGCUCCGAAAAUUAUUCCUUCUUUCCACCGUCCACGCGUUCUUUGCUAUCCACGUUCGAGCGAGCACCACCGGUUCGAUCAACCGAAGGGGACCUCUAAAUAAUUCUCGAAUAAUUCUUGGAUUGAUUUUCGUUUCGUCGAGACGAAGAAGAGCGAAGAAGUCCAUCCAGAUUUCCACUUCCAACCUCCGCGCUGUGUCGGGUGUUAAAUCGCAUCUUGAACACGAUAUAACACGAGAGUGGACACGAGUACGGACGACCGUGCGACAAGGGAGAGCGUAAAGGGAGAACACAAAGAAGGAAGAGAGUGCGAAGGCAUGACGAGCAUGACGAGCAUGCGAACGAUGCCGCCCGUUUAACGAAUCGCCGUUUAUAAUAUUUUAUUACACGGUUGGAAAACUGCUCUCUCUACACUGGUCAAAGCUUAUGUCACACGGAAGACGAAAGAGGAGAAAAGCGACGAGAGAGAAAGAACGACGUGACACAGUGAAAAAAGAGAGGACGGAAGAUCGGGGAUGCAUGUUCCAGGACAAUAAUCGUGACAGUAGCGAUAAUCGUGAAACGUGAGCUUCCUUCGAUCUCUUCGAAUUGUUAAAGUGAUUCAAUCUCUCUUUUCGCGUGGUUGGAUUGCGAGUCGACUCAUCGUCUCUCUCUUCAACGAUUUCGAUGCUUUGUUUUCGCAAACUAAUGUUCACGCUUGUACGAACAGAAACCUUUUCAACGUGCGAUCGACGUGCACGCAUCACGCUUCUUCGAUCACCCCCUUCUCGCCCCCUUUCUUUCGUCUGAUUUCGUACAUUUCGAAAUUCGCGUUCGUCCUUUUCCCAUCUCUUUCCGUUCCGUAUUAUAAUAUUCGCGCGCGUCGAAAUCGAAAACGAAAACAAAUCGCGCCCUACGUACGACGAUUUUAUAACAAUAAUAUAACAAGAACAACAAUAAUACGAUCUACGCCGUAUCGAUUAAAUUAGUCUUCUCUCAGAUAUAUAUUUGAAUCGACGAGUUGCGAUUCCCGCUCGAAUCAUCCUUCUCCCUCGUAAAAACAUCGCACGAGGUUUUUUGCGACGAGCCACGAGGUUUUUCAACCGUCGUUUUUUCAAACGAGACGUCGCGAUACCGCGUCGAUCGAUGCUGAGAAAAAACACAAUUUUUCACGACGUAAGACGUAAGGACAAGAAGGCGAAUAGGGAGAAGAAGAAUAACAAUACCUCUCUACGCGUGUACUCUCUCCUUCCCUUUGUUCGCGGAAAGGUGUCUGCGUCCGCGUGGGAGCCGUUUCGACGAGGUGGCGCGUUCUUCGUACCAGGCAUGCCUUCCGCGUUAUCCUGAGCGAUUUUUUCCUACUCGGUGGAUAUAAUUAUAUUUCUAAGAGAUAAUUAUUUAAAGAAGAAGAAGAAGAAGAAGAAGAAAAAAAGAUAGAUGAUUAAAAGAAUAUUCUUGUAAUAUAAAGAGAAAAAGAAAAAAAACAUAAGAUCCUCUUAUUGGGGGAUUCUUUAUUUGUUGAACUGCCGUCGCUGUUCUUCGUAGUCGUUGACGCGUCGUCGUCCUUGUUGUUAUUGUUACACAACCGUUGUUGCACCGUCUCGUGUAAUAGUUUCUCGUCGCUGCCAUUCUACUACGCCGUUCUCCUCUCGUCUCCCUUGCCUCCGGUGAUUGUGUCGUGUGUCGGUGGUUUUCUCCACCGCCCUCCCCUCCCUCCCCCCUCUCUCCAACCCCCCGUCGCCACCCUUCCAAAAAAAUAUCACACACUCUUUUCUAAACAUCGACAAACUUGACCCUUUGCUCGAUCCGAUCUGCGAGUCCAUUUUUUCCCCCCAAAAACAAAAUAAAGAAAGAGAGAGAGAGAGAGAGAGAAAAAGGGAAGAACGUUCGAACUCGUCUUUUCGUCUUGGAAACAAAGAACUCCGAAGUGAAGCAUGGUAGUCAAGAACGAGAAUACGAGAAAUGGGCAUGAGCUGGCUCCAUUGAACGAGGAACGUCAGGCAGGGCAAAACGUGACAAUCGUGGUAACCGGGAAUCAAAAUGCUGCUGGCAGUCAAGAGACCAAAGAGGAGAACAGGGCGGAAUGGAGCGGGAAGAUGCAAUUUUUCCUCAGUAUUAUCGGUUACAGCGUGGGACUUGGGAAUAUAUGGAGAUUCCCUUACCUGUGCCAACAGAACGGAGGAGGUGCCUUUCUCAUCCCCUUUUUCGUGAUGCUAAUCCUAGAGGGUGUACCCCUCUUUUUAAUCGAGCUGGGUCUCGGUCAACGCAUGCGACAGGGCGCCCUUGGUGUAUGGAACACGAUACAUCCAUGGUUAGGCGGUAUAGGGAUAGCAUCGUGCAUCGUCACCUUCUUCGUAGCACUUUAUUACAACGUCAUCAUUACCUGGUGCUUCUAUUAUCUUUUCAAUUCGCUGGAGGCCGUCACGAUUAAAGCUGGCGAACCGUUACCAUGGGCGAAAUGUCCGGAGGUUGAUGGGAAGCCGGUCGAGGAAUGCGUGAAGAGUUCGGAAACUGCCUAUUUUUGGUACAGAACCACUCUGGACGCGGCACCCUCAAUCGAGGAAGGAUCGAGCGGUCUGAAAUGGUGGAUCGUCCUUUGUCUACUGUUGAGUUGGAUCGUCGUCUUCUUUAUCGUGAUGAAGGGAAUACAAUCGUCGGGGAAGGUGGUAUAUUUUACAUCCAUGUUCCCGUAUUUGGUGCUUACUAUCUUUUUUAUUCGUGGAAUAACGUUAAAAGGUGCCAGCGCUGGAUUGGCCCACAUGUACACGCCAAAGAUCGAGAAGCUGUUAGAGCCGACGGUGUGGCUCGACGCAGCGACGCAAGUUUUUUAUAGUUUCGGACUAGCGUUCGGCUCCCUGAUCGCGUUCGGAUCUUACAACACUCCAGACAACCACUGCGUCCGGGACGUGAUUCUGGUUAGCUGUUGCAACGCCUUCACCGCAAUUUACGCGAGUGUCGUGAUAUUCGCCAUUUUAGGCUUUAAGGCGAUGACAAAUGUCGAUAAGUGCCUCGCAGGUAACAAAGACUUACUCGUUCAACACGGAUUUGCCUAUCAGAAUACCACCAUGAAGGAAUACGAGAGUAUUGUAAAUAAUAUCACUGCAACGAACAUGAAUUUCACCCUUGAAACGUGUAGCCUGAGCGAACAAUUGGACAACGCUGCCGAAGGAACGGGAUUAGCUUUCAUAGUGUUCACACAGGCGAUAGUCGAGCUACCAGGCGCUCCUUUCUGGUCCUGUAUUUUCUUUCUGAUGCUUUUAGCCCUCGGUCUCGGUUCCCAAAUCGGUAUACUAGAGGGCAUGCUGUGCGUCAUCUUCGACAUAGAUCUGUUCAAGAGAAUAAAAAAGCAAUACAUGACAGGGGUAGUUUGCACGGUGUGCUUCUUUGUUGGUUUAAUAUUCUGUACCGGAGCCGGAGAAUAUUGGCUAAAGAUGUUCGACAGUUUCGCAGGUACCAUCGGUCUCGUGAUGGUCGCGCUCAUGGAAAUGAUAUCCGUCAUCUUUGUUUACGGCCACGAAAAAUUCACGAAAGAUAUCGAAGAGAUGACAGGAUACAGACCAGGGGCGUAUUGGCAAUUCACCUGGCGAUUUCUCGCCCCUAUAAUCAUGGUCUGCAUCCUUGUCUCCAGUAUAAUCUCCAUGGUUGUGAAGAAGCCUCAAUAUUCCGCGUGGGAUGCGUCACGGGUGAGUAGUGGAAAGUAUUAUCUCGUGACCCAUAUAUCUCGUUGCCAAAAUACCUACGUCACGACCUCGACAUUUCUUUCUUUUUUUUUUUUUNUUUUUUUUUCCUUCCUUUGUUUUCAGGGCAUAGCUGUACCCACCGCGUAUCCCGGCUGGGUGUUGGCUAUAGCGGUCGUCAUCAUUUUUGCGGGCAUCGCGCCAAUACCGAUUGUAUUCCUUUUGAGGCGGUUCCAAUGCGUCAAGUUGGACGUUGACAUUCACCAAGGCAGCAUACGACGUAUCGAUACCACCGUUUCUACCAAAGAAAUGAUGGGAGAUGUCGAUACAACGUAGAGACGUAGUCAUCGUAAUAGAAGGACAACUUAAUUGGCGCACCGAGAGAGAGAGAGAGAGAGAGAGAAACAUGUCACGAUUACCCGUGAUUAGAGCAAGUCUCAGGUGGGAAUCGGGAAGAAGAAUUACAUUUACUCAAAGUGCGUCGAUUAAGCCUUAAGAAUGAGAGCAUUUAAGAUUUACGUUGGACGUACCUGCAGUUAUAGGAAAGCGUCCGUUCUGUGUGCGGUAACGUCGAUUAAUCGCUUCUUCUAUAGCUACCUUACACUUGGACGAGUACCACGACCGCCUCGAAGAUUUUCCCGAGGAGGACGAAGACGUGAACAGCGAUGACGACAACAACAGUGCCCCGCCGAUAACGAAGAUCGUCCCCAACAAACUUCAGGGUAAACCGUUCAAAAUGGAAGUGAUGGACUUUUAAAAGUUGUCAGGUUCGUCGACUUUUGUCGUAUCGUUUCACCUUACGUGACGACAGAACAUGGAAAGAGGGUUGAUCGAACAUUCUCGCCCCUUUCGAAUUUCGAUUCUCAGGAAACGCGUAAGACGAUACGAAAUAAUUGCAGGUACGAAUCGACGAAUGAGAGAGAGAGAGAGAGCGAGCGAGAGCGAGAGAGAAAGAGAAAGAGAGAAUUGGUGCUUUUCGAGAGCAAUACUAAAUAACUUCCGUCGAAUCCGUGUACACGAAUGUGACACGAGAUUAGCGUGUACGAAGCAAAUAAAAAAGAGGGAGAAAAAGCGGAGAAAACUUAGAAAAAUACUCGGUCGAUUCUAAUCGCAUUCGAAAUCGCUUCGUCGCGCCUCCGCUUACUUCACUUCGAUCGUUCGAUCGAUUUUAUCGAGAUCUAAAUUAAUUUUAACUGACUGAACGUUAUCGUGCGACGAUCGGUAUUUAUUUUCGGCUAUUUUAUUUAAUCAUUUGAUUAUAAUCGGCAUCGCAUAGCGAGUAACGAAAGGAGAAAAAAAAAAAAAAAAAAAAAAAGAAAAAA
Apis florea (little honeybee) is the source of this 5604-nucleotide unclassified non-coding RNA. The record is from RefSeq and is a predicted model, not a curated record. Lineage: Eukaryota; Metazoa; Arthropoda; Insecta; Hymenoptera; Apidae.